Molecule: long non-coding RNA, 5240 nt
Organism: Astatotilapia calliptera (eastern happy)
Lineage: Eukaryota; Metazoa; Chordata; Actinopteri; Cichliformes; Cichlidae
Source: Ensembl
CCAGUUUAUGUGACUGCACUCGCUGCUGCGGGGUGACGAUAAUCAUGUAGCAGCGGCUGCUUCAGUGAAUAAAGUGAGACGGUGUGUGCUUCGUGUAGUUUUCAUUUCUGAAAUCUAAAAUUUACACUGAACUCCAGUGUUAGCGUGGAGCUAUUCUGGCAUCAAAUCCCUGAACCUUACAAACUGUGAGCGGCGGCAUGCUCAGCUGUGUUAUGGCAAAGGAGGACCAGCUGACACCCAGCAUGGUCCGACCAACCUGAGAACCAAAGUGUGUUAUUGGACUAUGUAAAGCCUAAGUAUACAAAUACAGGCUAUUUACCAUUUAUUUAUCACUGAAUUAAACUAAACUAACAGCAGUCUUUCUUCUGCUUCUCCUGAACAUUAAGUACCUGUCUCAGCUGAUAUUGAUCUUCUGUGAUUCAAAUUCAGAUCUGUGGUUAAUCAAAUUAUCUACAACCAAUUGACACGCCGCAAACUCAGAGCUUUGGAGGCCAGACGCAGCUGACCGCUCUGCACGGCCGUUAAUCCAACCUUGGCUCAUAGAUUUGUUCUGUACCCAGAGUUGGACCGACGGUUGGGUUCUGGUGCACCAAAUCAGUACUGAAUCUGACUGACCAACUCUGUUACUCUUUUCUGCUUAUAAUUGAUUAAUUGUGUUACUUUGUUUACUUUAAGAAAACAUUUCGGGCUUCUUUCAGUUUCCAAUGUGUCGAACACACCGGAAACACAGAUGUUUAGAAGAAAUCAUCAGUCUUGUCUGCAGUUGGUGAGCCUGAUGCAGGCAGUAAUGCACAUCUACGAGCCACGUGCAUGUUUGAUUUGUCAACUCUACAUUUACAAAGUUUCUUCUUUUCUGGAAACCGAGCCUGGUUUUAUGAUUUUAAUAGUCAAUGUUUUAUUGGGGUGUAGUUCAUGUUUUAAGAAAAAGAGGACAUCUUUAAAAGAAGUUCAAACCUGAUGGAAAUACGUCAUCUCUGCUAGUUUCUGUGCAAACACAGCUGAUGGUUUUGACUCUACAGUAGGAUGCUGAAGUCACAUGAUGAAUAAAUGAUGGACGUAGCCAUCGUGAUGUCACCUGUUAGUUUGUAAAGACUGAAGCUGAGCCCACUGACCAUCAUCAUCUUAUCUUAAGAAGAUGUCACAUUAGAGGGAUACUGGAUGCUUAUACGCUAGCGACUUGUCGAUCACACCCAGCUUUACUGUCCUUCUGGGAACUAAUGGACUUUGAUUAGAGUUGAAACACACGAGUGAGACCACAAGCUGUUGAUGAUAGCGUUUACUGAGGUCACACGGCGCUCUCGAUUCGACACAUAGGAUGAUUUUUUUCACUUGUUUUAAACUAUAAUAGUUCCUGCGAAUGAUCUGUGUCUUCAGAAUCAUCAGGAACUUUUCUUGGGAACUUUUUUACUUUGCUGUUGUGUUUUACAUCUGGUGUUACCAUGGAAACCAGAUUUAAUGCAGCCUAAGCCCGAAAAUACAGACAUUUACCUGCAAGGUUAAAAUUCGGACAUAGCUUCGGGUUCUGAAAAGUACUUUUUUCUUAUAUAAUGGCCAACAGGGGGCGACUCCUCUGGAUGGUUUAGUUGUCUUUGACACAUUGACCUUUGGCUCUCCCAAUCUAUAACCUCAUUAAAGACUUUCCUGGUGGCUCUAUGGUCGCAAUCAAUACCUUAUAGUGUUCCUUUUUAAAUAACGAUCUCUGUUAGAGUCAAAAAUGACAAUGACUCGGGGUACGAGCAUGUGACUUAAAACUCCUGGCAGUAUCAAGUUUCUCGUCUGGUUUCAACACCAAGACGCUUCUGGACGAUUCAGUAAGGGAUGGCUCAUCACAUUAGCUACAUCCAUCAUCUUUACUCAGUAUAUGAAUGUAAUGCACAGUAUAAAAGUUGGGCUUUAAUGCACAAGUUCAAAAUCAACACAUAAACAGGUCGACGCGCUGCAGGUGCAUGUCAGCAAAUUCAUAUUUUCCACACACUCAAAACGUGGUUAGAUGGAUGCAGCAGGGAGACAGAGUUUGGUUCUGUUGAAGGAUCACCGCCUCCAUCUGCUCUCUCUGAUACCUGUUUAAAUAUUUUAUAAUACAGCCUAAUGAAACAUGAAGAGCCCGGCUUUUCCAAACAAUUAAGCAUAAUGAGUGUCUCUCAGAGAUCGUGGCGCUAAAACUAAAAGGCAACAACUGGGAAAUCAAACAUGUCAAAGACAGAACUGAAACUCUACACUGAUGGAAGCACAGUCCGGAUCCAGCAUCCGGGCCCGCUCUUUACCGCCAGCCGACUGAGCCUAGUUUCGAAUUGACGGACGUCGGCGGUAACCAAUCAGCGCCUGCCGUGCGCCAAAGCCGUGUUUAUUCCACUUAGCCGACCAAUCCGAGCCGUCCUCUGCGGCCAAGUGCGUCAUCAGAGUAGAAUGUGAAUGUGGGCUGCCUGUUACCGGAGCACACUUUGCUCCCAUCCCCCAUCAACACUGAGCAAUGGCGGCUACCCUUUUUUGCGUGCCGCUUUGUCCUUCUCAGUUCAGCUUGUAAAAGCCAUGUGUACAAAAGUCGGUAAGGAAAAUACGUGUUUGCCCUUGUGUUUCAUAAGAAUGCGCGUCAGUUCAUGAGCACAUUAUAAUUAUUUUCCGCACUUCUCUCAUCGCAUGUCUUUUAUGUCGCACUGCUUUUUUUCCCUCCUCCACGGCGGGGCAUUUCUCUGUGGGUCCUAACAAUGGAGGCGGAGGAAAUGAGCCACCAGCACUGUUCACUGCACCCGCUCACUGAGCCCGAACAGCCCGAAUCACGGCGUCAGAGCCGGCUGUGUGUGUGUUGUUCGACGGGCACUGUGUUUAUUUGUGUCUCGACCUUGGCGCACGAAUUUAUGGGCUGUUAUGUAAAAAAAAAAAAAAAGCCCUCAAGAGUGUCAAGUGCGCACAUACAGGGAUGAGUUUCAAACAUGGACGUCGGGAAGGGGCGGGGCGACGAAGAGCUGCGAUGUGACAUGGCGGCGCCGCUCCACAUUUACACUCUGAGCGCCUUGUAUCUGACUGAUGUUGUUCACAUGGAGCUUGAGAUGUGACACUAACUUUUGGGGAGAAAAGCCCGAUUUAAUCCGUAAUAACAUCCGUGUCGUCCACGUUUCCCUCCCAAACACUUCGCCUCUAUUCCCCCGUCGCGGCGGUGGGCGGGAGAAACCGUCUGAAGUCGCCGCUUGACUCGUCCAGACGCACAUCAAUCAAUCAAAGUGACACUACGUCAACCGAAGCGCUCUCGAUUCGACAUAUUUACUGCGUAACUCGACGGAAACUCGAUUUUCUUGCGCUCACGGUGCUGUGGAGCUGCCACGGUUCCGGCUCCGGUCCGUUUUGUGGGCUUUUAUCGACUCUGAUUAUUGUUUUAGGGGAGAAAGGGACGGUUGCAGCGAUAGAAUAGGAGGGGGCGUGGCCUUUGGGUUAAGAAAUCCUAUCCAUUGUUACUCUACGCGCUAGGAGAACACCUCUGCCGAGCCUCUGGCCAAUCAGAGACCACCGACCUCAUGAAGACCCCGCCCACAAGCCUAUAUUAAAGGCUCGGCCGUCAGAAGCAUUGGCCACUGGCACAAUAUAAUACUGAUUGAUCCGCUAACCGAGACGAGGGGAUUUACUUUAUUCAACCUUUCAUUUCAGCCGUCCUUUAUUUUAUUCUACUAAACAAUGGCAGACACACAGGUCGACUCCGGCUCGGAUAUCUCUGCCAAGGACCUGAAAGAGAAGAAGCUGGUGGAGGAGAAGGAGAACGGCAAAGACGCCGCCACCAAUGGGAAGGAGAAUGAAGAGAACGGUGAGCCCGAGGUAGAUGACGAGGAGGACGAGGAGGUGGACGAGGAAGAAGAGGAAGAUGAUGGAGAAGGUGAUGAGGAAGAUGAGGAGGAGGACGACGACGAGAUUGAGGGUGGCACAAAACGGGCAGCUGAGGAUGACGAGGACGACGACGAGGUGAGGCAGCGGCGCUUAAACGCCCUUAAAUCGAGCGUCGCCGUGACACCCAGCAGGCGCCGGUCUAACCCGCCACCGUCUUCUCUUCUUUCAGGACGACGUCGAAACCAAGAAGCAGAAAACCGACGAUGACGAUUGAUGCGUUUCCCCCGCGCCAUCCUGCUGAACCACUUCCUGAUUCUUCACCUCUGACCAUUUUUCUAUGUCGCAGGUGGAGGGGCUGGAGGACUGAUUUAAAGGAAAAAAUAAUAAUAAUAAAAAAAAUCCAACAUGGUCAUUAGCAAGUAGAGUUCAACAAACACCCGCCACGCCCACACCCACCCGAGCUCCCCUCGACGCUGCGAGACAAAUUUUCUAGAGGAACCCGCCACCGCAUCGACGACGCAGAAAUCCGGCUUCUCUUCAGCAACAACACAAAAGGAGAAUUUGUUUGUAUUUUUAUUUACAUUUUAUAUUUUUGUACAUAUUGUUAGGAGAGGGGAGGGGGGCAGUUUCUCUCUCGGCAGCGAUCCCGUCAGACCAAAUCGGUGCUUCUCUAACGAAAGAUUUUACUUGGUUGACCAUGUUACGAUAUCUCAACAGAUCUUAGAAAAACGUGUAAAAAAAUAAAAUGAAUAAAAACAUGAAAGACAACCUCUUAAGCCGUUGAACUCAGAGCAUUCCAGUAAAUUUAAUGUAUGUACUUUAGCUGUACCAUAACUAGUUUGUUUGUAUGGGAGGGUAAGGCCAAAGAAAAGAGCCUCUUUUCUUUUUCCUUUCUUUUGGUUUUUUUUCUUUUGGUUUUGUUUUUGUCAGCGACUUUUUGUUUUAUGACGGCCUGUUUUGAUGUAUGUGCAAAGUUUGUUGUUUGACAAUAAACCGGACUUUUAUUUUGUGAGUUGUACUUUGUAUCUCUGCCCCUUUUUAUUUGUGCUUUGCUCUCCUGUGAGGAAGAGGAAGCAGUGCAGGUAAACCUGAGGUCUGCUUUUACUUUAGGGUCACAACAGCGAGGAGGUGGGUCCAGCACAUCUUAUUGGACAUUUUACACUCAUUACAUCCAUAUAAUUCAUAUUACAUAAAAGUUAAGGUUUGGUACUAAAAUAAACUGGCGGUUCCAAAAGACUAAAUGUGGUUUAUUUCUUUUGGAUUUUUCUCUUCUUUUUGUCUAUAUUGCAAACAUGCAAACAGAAGCAGUUCUGAUAGUUGAAAGUUGUAAGAAUAACAUAAUGUGUCACAUAAAUAAGGGUUUCUGCAUGAAUUUAAAGUCUUAACAUUAAAAUAAAGCAUAUUAAGGUCUGAGAAGCUGAUCUGUA